Molecule: ribosomal RNA, 411 nt
Filed under: uncultured bacterium
Lineage: Bacteria
Description: bacterial SSU rRNA
Rfam family: Bacterial small subunit ribosomal RNA
Source: RNAcentral
UGGGGAAUAUUGGACAAUGGGCGGAAGCCUGAUCCAGCAACGCCGCGUGAGGGAUGACGGCCUUCGGGUUGUAAACCUCUUUCAUCACCGACGAAGCCGUAAGGUGACGGUAGGUGGAGAAGAAGCACCGGCCAACUACGUGCCAGCAGCCGCGGUAAUACGUAGGGUGCGAGCGUUGUCCGGAAUUAUUGGGCGUAAAGGGCUCGUAGGCGGUUUGUCGCGUCGGGAGUGAAAACACCGGGCUUAACUCGGUGCUGGCUUUCGAUACGGGCAGACUAGAGGUAUUCAGGGGAGAACGGAAUUCCUGGUGUAGCGGUGAAAUGCGCAGAUAUCAGGAGGAACACCGGUGGCGAAGGCGGUUCUCUGGGAAUGUCCUGACGCUGAGGAGCGAAAGUGUGGGGAGCGAACAGG